CGGGUUGCGGACAGUGUCUGGUGGGUAGUUUGACUGGGGCGGUCUCCUCCUAAAGAGUAACGGAGGAGCACGAAGGUUGGCUAAUCCUGGUCGGACAUCAGGAGGUUAGUGCAAUGGCAUAAGCCAGCUUGACUGCGAGCGUGACGGCGCGAGCAGGUGCGAAAGCAGGUCAUAGUGAUCCGGUGGUUCUGAAUGGAAGGGCCAUCGCUCAACGGAUAAAAGGUACUCCGGGGAUAACAGGCUGAUACCGCCCAAGAGUUCAUAUCGACGGCGGUGUUUGGCACCUC
RNAcentral lists this ribosomal RNA (287 nucleotides) under Escherichia coli O157. Its description in RNAcentral is "partial 23S ribosomal RNA". It matches the Rfam family "Bacterial large subunit ribosomal RNA", at positions 2241 to 2527 of the family's 2925-position model. Lineage: Bacteria; Pseudomonadati; Pseudomonadota; Gammaproteobacteria; Enterobacterales; Enterobacteriaceae. The record is from RNAcentral.